GGAAUUGACGGGGGCCCGCAUAAGCGGUGGAGCAUGUGGUUUAAUUCGACGCAACGCGAAGAACCUUACCUGGGUUUGACAUCCCGAUCGCACCCUAUGGAAACUUAGGGGUCAGUUCGGCUGGAUCGGUGACAGGUGCUGCAUGGCUGUCGUCAGCUCGUGUCGUGAGAUGUUGGGUUAAGUCCCGCAACGAGCGCAACCCUUGUCCUUGGUUGCCAUCAUUAAGUUGGGCACUUUAAGGAGACUGCCGGUGUUAAACCGGAGGAAGGUGGGGAUGACGUCAAGUCCUCAUGGCCCUUAUAUCCAGGGCUACACACGUGCUACAAUGGCCGGUACAAAAGGCUGCGAUACCGCGAGGUAAAGCUAAUCCCAAAAGCCGGUCUCAGUUCGGAUUGGAGUCUGCAACCCGACUCCAUGAAGUUGGAAUCGCUAGUAACCGCAGGUCAGCUAUACUGCGGUGAAUACGUUCCCGGGGCUU
This 478-nucleotide ribosomal RNA is filed under the name uncultured Geothermobacter sp. RNAcentral's name for it is "bacterial SSU rRNA". It matches the Rfam family "Bacterial small subunit ribosomal RNA", at positions 906 to 1382 of the family's 1533-position model. Lineage: Bacteria; Pseudomonadati; Thermodesulfobacteriota; Desulfuromonadia; Desulfuromonadales; Geothermobacteraceae. The record is from RNAcentral.